Molecule: transfer RNA, 71 nt
Filed under: Plecoglossus altivelis (ayu)
Lineage: Eukaryota; Metazoa; Chordata; Actinopteri; Osmeriformes; Plecoglossidae
Description: tRNA-Ser
Rfam family: tRNA
About the family: Transfer RNA (tRNA) molecules are approximately 80 nucleotides in length. Their secondary structure includes four short double-helical elements and three loops (D, anti-codon, and T loops). Further hydrogen bonds mediate the characteristic L-shaped molecular structure. tRNAs have two regions of fundamental functional importance: the anti-codon, which is responsible for specific mRNA codon recognition, and the 3' end, to which the tRNAs corresponding amino acid is attached (by aminoacyl-tRNA synthetases). tRNAs cope with the degeneracy of the genetic code in two manners: having more than one tRNA (with a specific anti-codon) for a particular amino acid; and 'wobble' base-pairing, i.e. permitting non-standard base-pairing at the 3rd anti-codon position.
Source: RNAcentral
AAGAAAGUAGCAGAAUGGUUAUGCGGCUGACUUGAAAUCAGCAGACGGGGGUUCAAUUCCUCCCUUUCUCG